Molecule: ribosomal RNA, 302 nt
Filed under: Paravaejovis confusus
Lineage: Eukaryota; Metazoa; Arthropoda; Arachnida; Scorpiones; Vaejovidae
Description: partial 16S ribosomal RNA
Source: RNAcentral
UUUGAAAUUUAUAUUUUAGUAAAAAAGCUAAAAUUAUCUAUAGGGACGAGAAGACCCUAUCAAGUUUUACAAUCCAAAAUUUAUUUUCAAAUUAAAUUUAAAAUUGUUUUGCUGGGGCAGCAGAUAAAAAUUUUUUAUUUUAAAAUUAUGAUAAAUAAAUCUUGAAAAAUCAAAAAAUUUUUAAUUAAAAAUAAAUUACUGUAGGGAUAACAGCAUAAUUUUUUUAGAGAGUUCUUAUCAUCAAAAAAGUUUGUGACCUCGAUGUUGGAUUAAAAUUCCUAAUUCGUGCAAUAAUGAAAUAA